Molecule: ribosomal RNA, 450 nt
Filed under: uncultured bacterium
Lineage: Bacteria
Description: bacterial SSU rRNA
Rfam family: Bacterial small subunit ribosomal RNA
Source: RNAcentral
GUGGGGAAUAUUGGACAAUGGGCGAAAGCCUGAUCCAGCAAUGCCGCGUGUGUGAAGAAGGCCUGCGGGUUGUAAAGCACUUUUAUCGGGAAAGAAAAUCCCAGGGUUAAUACCCCUGGGCCUUGACGGUACCCGAGGAAUAAGCACCGGCUAACUCCGUGCCAGCAGCCGCGGUAAUACGGAGGGUGCAAGCGUUAAUCGGAAUUACUGGGCGUAAAGCGAGUGUAGGCGGCUGCAUAAGUCGGAUGUGAAAUCCCCGGGCUUAACCUGGGAAUGGCAUUCGAUACUGUGCGGCUAGAGUCUGAUAGAGGGAAGUGGAAUUCCAGGUGUAGCGGUGAAAUGCGUAGAUAUCUGGAAGAACAUCAGUGGCGAAGGCGGCUUCCUGGAUCAAGACUGACGCUGAGGCUCGAAAGCGUGGGGAUCAAACAGGAUUAGAAACCCCUGUAGUCC